RNAcentral lists this ribosomal RNA (484 nucleotides) under uncultured bacterium. RNAcentral's name for it is "partial 16S ribosomal RNA". It matches the Rfam family "Bacterial small subunit ribosomal RNA", at positions 28 to 507 of the family's 1533-position model. The record is from RNAcentral.
GAUGAACGCUGGCGGCGUGCUUAACACAUGCAAGUCGAACGGGAUCCAAGGGGUGCUUGCACUUUUUGGUGAGAGUGGCGAACGGGUGAGUAACACGUGAGUAACCUGUCCUUUUCUUUGGGAUAAGCAUUCGAAAGGGUGUUUAAUACCUUAUGUUCUGUCUGCCUCGCAUGGGGUGGGUGGGAAAGGCUUUGGCCGGAUUUGGGUGGGCUCGCGGCCUAUCAGCUUGUUGGUGGGGUGAUGGCUUACCAAGGCUUUGACGGGUAGCCGGCCUGAGAGGGUGGUCGGUCACAUUGGGACUGAGAUCCGGCCAAGAGUCCUGCGGGAGGAAACAGUGGGGAUAUUGCACAAUGGGCGAAAGCCUGAUGCAGCGACGCCGCGUGGGGGAUGAAGGCCUGCGGGUUGUAAACUUCUUUUGCUCUGAACAAGGAAUGCCAGUGGGUGUGUUGAGUGUAGGGGUUGAUGAGCGCCGGCUAACUACGUG